AACAAGAUGGCUGAUUAAAGCAAAGAGUUGUAACCUCUUUUAUAUAGAUUAAAAUUCUAUUCUUCGUUA
Molecule: transfer RNA, 69 nt
Filed under: Protelpidia murrayi
Lineage: Eukaryota; Metazoa; Echinodermata; Holothuroidea; Elasipodida; Elpidiidae
Also listed under: 4 other names
Description: tRNA-Tyr
Rfam family: tRNA
About the family: Transfer RNA (tRNA) molecules are approximately 80 nucleotides in length.
Source: RNAcentral